This 497-nucleotide ribosomal RNA is filed under the name uncultured bacterium. Its description in RNAcentral is "partial 16S ribosomal RNA". It matches the Rfam family "Bacterial small subunit ribosomal RNA", at positions 28 to 507 of the family's 1533-position model. The record is from RNAcentral.
GAUGAACGCUGGCGGCGUGCCUAAUACAUGCAAGUCGAGCGAACGGACGAGAAGCUUGCUUCCCUGAUGUUAGCGGCGGACGGGUGAGUAACACGUGGAUAACCUACCUAUAUGACUGGGAUAACUUCGGGAAACCGUAGCUAAUACCGGAUAAUAUUUUGAACCGCAUGGAUCAAAAGUGAAAGACGGUCUUGCUGUCACUAAUAGAUGGAUCCGCGCUGCAUUAGCUAGUUGGUAAGGUAACGGCUUACCAAGGCAACGAUGCAUAGCCGACCUGAGAGGGUGAUCGGCCACACUGGAACUGAGACACGGUCCAGACUCCUACGGGAGGCAGCAGUAGGGAAUCUUCCGCAAUGGGCGAAAGCCUGACGGAGCAACGCCGCGUGAGUGAUGAAGGUCUUCGGAUCGUAAAACUCUGUUAUUAGGGAAGAACAUAUGUGUAAGUAACUGUGCACAUCUUGACGGUACCUAAUCAGAAAGCCACGGCUAACUACGUG